This 140-nucleotide ribosomal RNA is filed under the name Salmonella enterica subsp. enterica serovar Lubbock. RNAcentral describes it as "partial 16S ribosomal RNA". It matches the Rfam family "Bacterial small subunit ribosomal RNA", at positions 351 to 479 of the family's 1533-position model. The record is from RNAcentral. Lineage: Bacteria; Pseudomonadati; Pseudomonadota; Gammaproteobacteria; Enterobacterales; Enterobacteriaceae.
GCAGUGGGGAAUAUUGCACAAUGGGCGCAAGCCUGAUGCAGCCAUGCCGCGUGUAUGAAGAAGGCCUUCGGGUUGUAAAGUACUUUCAGCGGGGAGGAAGGUGUUGUGGUUAAUAACCGCAGCAAUUAGCGGGCGUUACU